RNAcentral lists this ribosomal RNA (901 nucleotides) under Fusarium cicatricum. RNAcentral describes it as "LSU rRNA". It matches the Rfam family "Eukaryotic large subunit ribosomal RNA", at positions 36 to 966 of the family's 3401-position model. The record is from RNAcentral. Lineage: Eukaryota; Fungi; Ascomycota; Sordariomycetes; Hypocreales; Nectriaceae.
CAGCAUAUCAAUAAGCGGAGGAAAAGAAACCAACAGGGAUUGCCCUAGUAACGGCGAGUGAAGCGGCAACAGCUCAAAUUUGAAAUCUGGCUCUCGGGCCCGAGUUGUAAUUUGUAGAGGAUGCUUUUGGUGAGGUGCCUUCCGAGUUCCCUGGAACGGGACGCCAUAGAGGGUGAGAGCCCCGUCUGGUUGGACACCGAUCCUCUGUAAAGCUCCUUCGACGAGUCGAGUAGUUUGGGAAUGCUGCUCUAAAUGGGAGGUAUAUGUCUUCUAAAGCUAAAUAUUGGCCAGAGACCGAUAGCGCACAAGUAGAGUGAUCGAAAGAUGAAAAGCACUUUGAAAAGAGAGUUAAAAAGUACGUGAAAUUGUUGAAAGGGAAGCGCUUGUGACCAGACUUGGGCUUGGUUGAUCAUCCAGGGUUCUCCCUGGUGCACUCUUCCAGCCCAGGCCAGCAUCAGUUUGCUUCGGGGGAUAAAGGCGUCGGGAAUGUGGCACCCUCCGGGGUGUGUUAUAGCCCGUCGUGUAAUACCCUGGGGCAGACUGAGGUUCGCGCAUCUGCAAGGAUGCUGGCGUAAUGGUCAUCAGCGACCCGUCUUGAAACACGGACCAAGGAGUCGUCUUCGUAUGCGAGUGUUCGGGUGUCAAACCCCUACGCGUAAUGAAAGUGAACGCAGGUGAGAGCUUCGGCGCAUCAUCGACCGAUCCUGAUGUUCUCGGAUGGAUUUGAGUAAGAGCAUACGGGGCCGGACCCGAAAGAAGGUGAACUAUGCCUGUAUAGGGUGAAGCCAGAGGAAACUCUGGUGGAGGCUCGCAGCGGUUCUGACGUGCAAAUCGAUCGUCAAAUAUGRGGCAUGGGGGCGAAAGACUAAUCGAACCUUCUAGUAGCUGGUUUCCGCCGAGU